UUGCAGCUCAACUGUAGAAUUGCCUUUGAUACUGGAGCUCUUGAGCUAUGUUGCUGUGGCCGGAACAUGUGGUGUAGCGGUGAAAUGCAUAGAUAUCACAUAGAACACCGAUUGAGAAGGCAGGUCACAAAGCAUAGACUGACUCUGAGGGACGAAAGCGUGGGGAGCGAACGGGAUUAGAUACCCCGGUAGUCCACGCCGUAAACGAUGGAUACUAGCUGUUGGGUUUUCGGACUCGGCGGCCAAGCGAAAGUGAUAAGUAUCCCACCUGGGGAGUACGUUCGCAAGAAUGAAACUCAAAGGAAUUGACGGGGGCCCGCACAAGCGGUGGAGCAUGUGGUUUAAUUCGAUGAUACGCGAGGAACCUUACCAGGGCUUAAAUGGGAGAUGACCGGGUCAGAGACGACCCUUUCUUCGGACAUCUUUCAAGGUGCUGCAUGGUUGUCGUCAGCUCGUGCCGUGAGGUGUCAGGUUAAGUCCUAUAACGAGCGCAACCCCUGCCGUUAGUUGCCAGCGAGUCAAGUCGGGGACUCUAACGGGACUGCCGGUGCAAACCGAGAGGAAGGUGGGGACGACGUCAAAUCAUCACGGCCCUUACGUCCUGGGCUACACACGUGCUACAAUGGUCGGUACAAUGGGAAGCCACCCCGUGAGGGGGCGCGGAUCUUAAAAGCCGAUCACAGUUCGGAUUCGGGGUCUGCAAC
Molecule: ribosomal RNA, 704 nt
Filed under: uncultured organism
Description: bacterial SSU rRNA
Rfam family: Bacterial small subunit ribosomal RNA
Source: RNAcentral